GCUUGUCUCAAAGAUUAAGCCAUGCAUGUCUAAGUACAAGCCUCAGUAAGGUGAAACCGCGAAUGGCUCAUUAAAUCACACCUAAUCUACUGGAAAGUUACUAGUUACUUGGAUAACUGAGGUAAUUCUUGAGCUAAUACAUGCAUAAAUCCCCGACUGCUUGGAAGGGGUGUAUUUAUUAGAUGGAAACCAAUUCGGGGUAACCCGGUUUAUGGUGAUUCAUAAUAACUUUCGGAUCGACGCAAGUCGAUGCAUCAUUCAAGUUUCUGCCCUAUCAGUUGUGGAUGGUAGGGUAUUGGCCUACCAUGACUUUAACGGGUAACGGAGAAUUAGGGUUCGAUUCCGGAGAGGGAGCCUGAGAAAUGGCUACCACAUCCAAGGAAGGCAGCAGG
Molecule: ribosomal RNA, 392 nt
Filed under: uncultured Synurales
Lineage: Eukaryota; Synurophyceae; Synurales
Description: partial small subunit ribosomal RNA
Rfam family: Eukaryotic small subunit ribosomal RNA
Source: RNAcentral